CUUAUUGGCUGGAAAGGAAGAAGCAUUCUUUCAUUGGUUGGUGUGUAUUGCCUUGUCAACCAAUAAGAGGAUGCCAUUUAUCCUUUUCUGACUAGCUGAGUGAGCAGGGUG
MicroRNA precursor from Papio anubis (olive baboon), 111 nucleotides. NCBI's taxonomy places the organism in Eukaryota, Metazoa, Chordata, Mammalia, Primates, Cercopithecidae. The record is from Ensembl.